Long non-coding RNA from Macaca fascicularis (crab-eating macaque), 1531 nucleotides. The record is from Ensembl. Lineage: Eukaryota; Metazoa; Chordata; Mammalia; Primates; Cercopithecidae.
CCGGGAGGGAGAAGGGGUGACGAGCGCCAUUUUCCCCACAGGGGCGAGGAGUCGGCCUUGGUUCUCCCGGUGGGCUUGCCGGAGUGCGUUCUGCAGACCAGAAGGGCUUUGCCUAGCGAUUGCUGAAUGCUGAAUAGCAGCCCGCUGGGAGGGAAGUCGAAGGGAGGAAUAGGACAGAAUGAGAGACCUGACCUUUCCCUGGAGGUUUCAGUGCCGGCCGAGGCCCUUGGUCUUGGUCUAGGGCCCUGCAUUCCCGAGAGCUGCUGUAUGCCGGGGAUUGGCUUCCAAGCCUGUCUGAGCUUCUCCAGUCGCCGGGGCAUCGCCAUGCGGUGGGAGGGUGAGCCUUCCUCUCCUGCUGAAAUUCUGGCGGCUUGGCAACCGGCUGGGGGGUCUUGGAUUCCGCUGGGAGACACCACGGAUGCUUUGUGCUUUCACGUAGUUUCGGUUUAAAAUUUGAAGGCAUCAGAAAUGGUGUCGCUACGGUCUUUUGUAUGUUCUUGUGUCGCGAACUAAUAAAGGAAAUUCAAAAGGAUGGGAAAAGCAUUCAGUCUGGUUCCCUAAAGUUAUUAAGAAUGGGUACAACUUAAUUGUGUCCGUUGUGGUAAUGCUUCUUGUAGCUCUCAACCCAGCCCUUUCUAAACCGUUGGAUAUACUUACUAGUCAGUUCCGAAGGCACUCAGUACAAAUUUGCUUUGGCGCACCCGGCCGACUAAAGAUGAGGUGGGUGUAUUAGACUCAAAAUGUCUUAAGUUGGCCAGGCCAGGGUUAGAAUUGAGCUACCAAGAGAAUGAGAGGCUACCCUGUUGUGAAAGAUUUAGAUCCCGCUUAGAAAAACAGAAAUCUGGAUGAUGUUCAACUUAAUGUCUUGCAUUUCAGACGAUUAUCGAAUGGACGGGGAUAAAUAAAAAAGAUGUUAAAGAUAGCCCUCUAAGUGUGGAUAGUAAAUGUUUUGAUUUACAAUUAAGUCUACUUUGAGGUGCGGACCCUAACCAACGGAUAGUUGAGUAAUGGCGGCCUAGACGCCAUUCUAAAGAAAAUAGGACUUUAAGCUUUGUUAGAACACAUAUUCUGUUAAUAAAGAAGUUUAAAUCCGUCCGGAUUACUUUUUUUUUUUUUUUUGAGACGGAGUCUCGCCCUGUCGCCCAGACUGGAAUGCAGUGGCAUCCCGCCCGGCCUGGAUUGCUUUUUAAGCCCUUAAAAGAAAAGUGUCACAUAUACAAAAUGGAUUAGGUGGCCGGGCGCGGAGGCUCACGCCUGUAAUCCCAGCACUUUGGGAGGCCGAGGCAGGCGGAUCACAAGGUCGGGAGAUCAAGACCAUCCUGGAUAACGCAGUGAAACCCCGUCUCUACUAAAAAUACAAAAAAUUAGCCGGGCGUGGUGGCGGGCGCCUGUAGUUCCAGGUACUCGGGAGGCUGAGGCAAGAGAAUGGCGAGAACCCAGGAGGCGGAGCUUGCAGUGAGCUGAGAUUGCGUCACUGCACUCCAUCCUGGGCAACAGAGCAAGACUUCGUCUCAAAAAAAAAAAAAAAAAA